UACGUAGGUGGCAAGCGUUGUCCGGAAUUAUUGGGCGUAAAGCGCGCGCAGGCGGUUCCUUAAGUCUGAUGUGAAAGCCCACGGCUCAACCGUGGAGGGUCAUUGGAUACUGGGGAACUUGAGUGCAGAAGAGGAAAGUGGAAUUCCGAGUGCAGCGGUGAAAUGCGUAGAGAUUUGGAGGAACACCAGUGGCGAAGGCGACUUUCUGGUCUGUAACUGACACUGAGGCGCGAAAGCGUGGGGAGCAAACAGG
Molecule: ribosomal RNA, 253 nt
Filed under: uncultured bacterium
Lineage: Bacteria
Description: partial 16S ribosomal RNA
Rfam family: Bacterial small subunit ribosomal RNA
Source: RNAcentral